Long non-coding RNA from Mobula hypostoma (lesser devil ray), 1907 nucleotides. RefSeq lists it as uncharacterized. The transcript has 3 exons. Lineage: Eukaryota; Metazoa; Chordata; Chondrichthyes; Myliobatiformes; Myliobatidae. The record is from RefSeq and is a predicted model, not a curated record.
UUUUAGGCAGUUUGCGCCAUCUGGUCCUCCCAGUUGGGAACUGUGUACAGUAAGGAUAAGCAGCGGAAGGUUUACGGAUUUAAAAAUGCGCCACAACCACGCCUUUUCAAAGGGAAGAACUGAUCCACUUCUUAACAUGUUUAAAUUUGAUUUCUUGAAAUUUGCAUUGGCACCUUUACUCAAAUUUUAAUUUCCUGUUUCCUCAGGAUUUUCCGGAGCAGUCAGUCAGAUACGCGCCUUUGCUCCUUAUCUCUUGACUAUAAGAUCGAUCAAUUGCAAGAAACAAGCCAGAGAAAUUUAGCGGAUUGAGCAGCAUCUAAGGAGGGAGAGGGAUUUUUUUGAUAUUUUGACUGGGUUGACAUGGAGUUUCUCCAGCGGAUUAUUUGUUGCUCUAGAUUCCAGCAUUUGCUGUUUUCUUGUGUUUCAAUCAACUGUAGUUCAGAAAUUUUUAACUAAAGCAGCAUUUGCGAAGACAGCACUAAAGUGUGAAGAAAUAUUUUCGGAUUACACUCCUGGUUAGCCCAGAUGUUGAAAUAAUGCCCUAUUUUAUUUUGGGCUUCUGUCACCACAGAAUAUACUGUAGUUCCUCUAUAUUUUCCCUAGUGAAUUAUUUCAUUGUUUCAAACACUGCUAUUAACAGAUUGCUGACCUGUUUAAACUCUCUGCAAUUGGAGGUAUCUGAUAUGGGCAAUACAGGAUGUCCAGAGGCUGGAGAUCUGACCUCAUGUUCCUUGCAACUGUCAAAAAGAUGGGUUUAUAGCAGACACACUCUCACAGGCUCGCUACUCAGCUUUGGAGCAAUUAGACGACUGCAAAACAUAUGUUAGGCCACUGUUUAUGAUUACAGCUCAGCGUUUAACACCAUCAUUCCCUCGGAACUAAUAACCAAGCUUGAAAAUCUGAGCUUCUGUAAUUAGAUCCUUGACUUCCUUACACUCAAUGAAAAUGGGCAGUAGCAUCUCAUCAUUGACUAUCAACACAGGGAUGUGUGCUUAGCAAACUGCUCUACAUUAGUGACUGGCAAAGCACAGCUCAAAGGCUUUCUGUAAAUUCACUGAUUACACCACUGUUUGUAGAAUCUCAAAUAUCUACGAGGAGGCUUACAGGAGCGAGAUAGAUCAGCUGGAUGAGUGGUGUCACAGCCACAACCCAACUGAUCGUGGACUUCAGAAAGGGAAAGUUGAGAGAACACACACCAGUUCUCAUUGAGAUGUGAGUGGUGGAAAAGGCUCCUGUACCUCCUUCCUGAUGGUAACAAUGAGAAGAGGACAGGACUCCUUACAAAAUGCAGCCGCUGUCUUGCCUUCUUUAUGGUUGCAUCGAUGUGACUGUGUUGGAGGGGUCUUUGAUUAUGUUGACUGCUUUUCUAAGGCCGAGAGAAGUGUAAACUGAGUCAAUGGAGGGGAAGCUACUCUGACCAAGGUGCUCAAACCAUAGCUAGUGCGAUGUCACAGAAAUCAGUGCUGGGACCUUAGCCGUCACAUUGUUUUGAUGUCACCCUAUUGCUGUUAUGUAAGUUGCAUAAAGAGUGAAUACUUCAUUAAUAAGGUUUACAGAGCAGUGCUGUUGGGUUUUCCUGAGUAAUGUUGGACUGACACUGGCGGCUCUAAUGAGCAUUCCAUAUUGGUGCCUUGGCUUGCUCCUGCAAGUGCCACCAAUAAACUCUAUAGAUGCAACCUUUGCAACUUUAACGGUGACAAAACACAAUGCAAGCAACUCUCUUCCAGUCAUUGGGGAGUGUCACAAUGGAAUAAAUGGUGCCCUAGAUAGGCUGGUGAUGAGCAGUGUGCCCAGGAGGCAUUAUUUUUAUGAAAGGGCCAAACAGACCCAAGAGGGUUCAGCCUGACACAAGACUGUGGGGAAGGGUUGCAUAAGGACACGAGUGCCUGCACUUUGACCAUGCUGAA